This 89-nucleotide transfer RNA is filed under the name Bacteroidia bacterium. Its description in RNAcentral is "tRNA-Ser". It matches the Rfam family "tRNA". From Rfam's summary of the family: Transfer RNA (tRNA) molecules are approximately 80 nucleotides in length. Their secondary structure includes four short double-helical elements and three loops (D, anti-codon, and T loops). The record is from RNAcentral. Lineage: Bacteria; Pseudomonadati; Bacteroidota; Bacteroidia. RNAcentral also lists the same sequence under 2 other names.
GGAGAGGUAUCGAAGUGGUCAUAACGGGGCUGACUCGAAAUCAGUUUGAGGGAAACCUCACGUGGGUUCGAAUCCCACCCUCUCCGCCA